Molecule: ribosomal RNA, 497 nt
Filed under: uncultured bacterium
Lineage: Bacteria
Description: partial 16S ribosomal RNA
Rfam family: Bacterial small subunit ribosomal RNA
Source: RNAcentral
GAUGAACGCUGGCGGCGUGCCUAAUACAUGCAAGUCGAGCGAACAGACGAGGAGCUUGCUCCUCUGACGUUAGCGGCGGACGGGUGAGUAACACGUGGAUAACCUACCUAUAAGACUGGGAUAACUUCGGGAAACCGGAGCUAAUACCGGAUAAUAUAUUUAACCGCAUGGUUCAAUAGUGAAAGACGGUUUUGCUGUCACUUCUAGAUGGAUCCGCGCCGCAUUAGCUAGUUGGUAAGGUAACGGCUUACCAAGGCAACGAUGCGUAGCCGACCUGAGAGGGUGAUCGGCCACACUGGAACUGAGACACGGUCCAGACUCCUACGGGAGGCAGCAGUAGGGAAUCUUCCGCAAUGGGCGAAAGCCUGACGGAGCAACGCCGCGUGAGUGAUGAAGGUCUUCGGAUCGUAAAACUCUGUUAUUAGGGAAGAACAAAUGUGUAAGUAACUAUGCACGUCUUGACGGUACCUAAUCAGAAAGCCACGGCUAACUACGUG